GACGAACGCUGGCGGCGUGCUUAACACAUGCAAGUCGAACGGCAAGGCCCUGCUUUUGUGGGGUGCUCGAGUGGCGAACGGGUGAGUAACACGUGAGUAACCUGCCCUUGACUUUGGGAUAACUUCAGGAAACUGGGGCUAAUACCGGAUAGGAGCUCCUGCUGCCUGGUGGGGGUUGGAAAGUUUCGGCGGUUGGGGAUGGACUCGCGGCUUAUCAGCUUGUUGGUGGGGUAGUGGCCUACCAAGGCUUUGACGGGUAGCCGGCCUGAGAGGGUGACCGGCGACAUUGGGACUGAGAGACGGCGCAGACGGCUACGGGAGGCAGCAGGGGGGAAUAUUGCACAAUGGUCGGGAGCCUGAGGCGGCGACGCCGCGUGCGGGAUGACGGCCUGCGGGUUGUAAACCGCUUUCGCCUAUGACGAAGCGUGAGUGACGGUAAUGGGUGAAGAAGCACCGGCUAACUACGUG
This 468-nucleotide ribosomal RNA is filed under the name uncultured bacterium. RNAcentral describes it as "partial 16S ribosomal RNA". It matches the Rfam family "Bacterial small subunit ribosomal RNA", at positions 28 to 507 of the family's 1533-position model. The record is from RNAcentral.